RNAcentral lists this ribosomal RNA (253 nucleotides) under uncultured bacterium. Its description in RNAcentral is "partial 16S ribosomal RNA". It matches the Rfam family "Bacterial small subunit ribosomal RNA", at positions 524 to 776 of the family's 1533-position model. The record is from RNAcentral.
GACGUAGGGCGCGAGCGUUGUCCGGAUUUAUUGGGCGUAAAGAGCUCGUAGGCGGCUUGUCGCGUCGACCGUGAAAACUUGGGGCUCAACCCCAAGCCUGCGGUCGAUACGGGCAGGCUCGAGUUCGGUAGGGGAGACUGGAAUUCCUGGUGUAGCGGUGAAAUGCGCAGAUAUCAGGAGGAACACCGGUGGCGAAGGCGGUUCUCUGGGCCUGUACUGACGCUGAGGAGCGAAAGCGUGGGGAGCGAACAGG